GAAGCAGAUCAGACCGCCGCUGGUGCGAGCGUGGAAACACGGCACUGGAGGAAGGUCCGGACUGCAAAGAGCGGCGUAGCAGCUAACGGCUGCCCGGCGAAAGCCGAGGAUCAGAGCAACAGAGACGAGUCAGGUCGGGUCCGCCCGACCUGGGUGAAACGGGCAAUCUCUACGCGCAGCAACACCAAGUAGGCCAGCGAUGAUGCGGCUCGCAGAGCUGGCGGGUAGGUGGCACCGAGCCGGGCAGUGAUGCCCGGCCCAGAGGAAUGGCGGUCACGGGACCAGGCCCGCAAGGGUCAGGUCUUGCACAGAAUCCGGCCUAUCGAUCUGCUUCACCC
Molecule: RNase P RNA, 338 nt
Filed under: Mitsuaria sp. WAJ17
Lineage: Bacteria; Pseudomonadati; Pseudomonadota; Betaproteobacteria; Burkholderiales; Sphaerotilaceae
Description: Bacterial RNase P class A
Rfam family: Bacterial RNase P class A
About the family: Ribonuclease P (RNase P) is a ubiquitous endoribonuclease, found in archaea, bacteria and eukarya as well as chloroplasts and mitochondria. Its best characterised activity is the generation of mature 5'-ends of tRNAs by cleaving the 5'-leader elements of precursor-tRNAs.
Source: Rfam by way of RNAcentral